AGUUACUUUAUAAUAUUCUGUGAGAAAGAAACCAAUUUUUUCAUCUAUCUAUACAGUUUGAACAACAGAUAAACUCUUUUUUGGUUUUUAGAAAACAGAGACACGUGACAGGUGAAUUGCUCUUAUUCUGAAGUUUAAUUGUUUUGCUUAUAACACAUUCAACAGGUACUAAAAAAACUAAUACAAUUUAUUUAUUAUUAUAUAUUCAUUAUUAUUAUUAUUAUUAUUAUUAUUAUUAUUAUUAAAACCAAACUAAAGGCAAUUAUCUUUCAUCUGAAGAGGAUUUUUUCGUGCGACUCGACAAAGUGCUAAAGUUGAUGUUUACAUUGAUUUUAACAUCUCAUGUACAGUCCUAUCUAAUUUAGCGCUGAAAUGCGUGUUUCAUUGUGCAACAGAUUUCCCUGGUCAUAUACAACAAAUCCUGCAUAAAUAUAAAUCAAGAUACUCUGAGUGCAGUUUUAAUGAUGAUGGUACACACUUGUUGAGUAAUUGUGCAUUCAAGUUGAAAUUGUUUUUGUCAAAAUCAUUGCAGGCAUGUUGAUUGUUAUUUAUUAAAAAAUAUCAACCUCACUUUUGAA
Molecule: non-coding RNA, 578 nt
Organism: Hydra vulgaris (swiftwater hydra)
Lineage: Eukaryota; Metazoa; Cnidaria; Hydrozoa; Anthoathecata; Hydridae
Source: RefSeq, a predicted model, not a curated record